This is a long non-coding RNA of Pseudopipra pipra, 325 nucleotides long. RefSeq lists it as uncharacterized. NCBI's taxonomy places the organism in Eukaryota, Metazoa, Chordata, Aves, Passeriformes, Pipridae. The record is from RefSeq and is a predicted model, not a curated record. The transcript is spliced from 2 exons.
AGCAGCAGGGAAAGGCUCUUAGUCCUGGGCUGUUCCUUGAGCAGUGUAGGAAGGAAGCUGCCUUUUGUUAAGGAAAGCCUUGGUGAAGUCUGGAAGAGCACAGUGCAGCUGAGAGGACCUGGGCUCACAGGGAAACAUGGAGGAGCUUUCAGCUCAUCCCCUGGUCCCUCCAGCAUGUGUGUGGUGCAUUACUGGGUGCUGAGAAGGCACUUCCAUGACAUGAAAGCCCAGUAAGUGACACUCAGCAGCCAUCAACUAUUUUAAUAUGGACUUUUCUGAGGGAGCCAAAAAAAUAAAAGCUUCUUCCAAGGUCAUUAGCUGACAA